CGCUCACUCCCGCUACUAUCUCUCCAGCGGCAUCGCCUCAGCUGGCAAGCUCUCUCUCUCUCUCUCUCUCUAAAACCCUCUCCGUCUCUCUCUGGGAUUGACGAAGAUGAAGUCUAUGCCACACAACAAUUUCUCAUGGACACAAUGGAGCCUCCCCAGUCGCCAAACCUAGCCCCGGCAAGCCUCCAAGGAGAAAAGCGCCUGCACCUUCAGAUCUAACUAUACGGCCUUGGAUUCGAAGCCUUCGCCGGCAACUAAGUUGAAGAGUCUGUUGCCGCCACAGCCGCCGCCGUCAAAUCCUCUCAAACAGAAGCUUGGGAAAGAUUGGGUAUUCACAUUUUUUCAACCUUUCAAGAGAGACAACUCUCAGGCCAAGCGGUCUAGCAUUUUCGAACUCUUGCGCCGGUAACUGAUCGCAUUUCGUCUCUCGAAUCG
Molecule: long non-coding RNA, 435 nt
Filed under: Rosa chinensis
Lineage: Eukaryota; Viridiplantae; Streptophyta; Magnoliopsida; Rosales; Rosaceae
Description: sRNA RchiOBHm_Chr4g0409471
Source: RNAcentral